UGGCGAAACCCUGUCUCUACCCAAAAUACAAAAAUUGGCCAGGCAUAGUGCUGCAUGCCUGUGGUCCUAGCUAUGCAGGAGGCUGAGGCGGGGCAAUGGCUGGAGGCCAGGAAGUGGAGGCUGUGGUGAGCCGUGAUUGUAUCACUGCACUCCAGCCUGGGUGACAGAAGGAGACCCUGUCUCAAAAUCAAAGGAGUUCAACAUAGUAUCUACCUGAUUGGAAAAAAUGCAGGGGCAGUUUCUUUGGAACAGGCUCUGUUGCAUUUGGUGAGCAACUUAACUUUUGGAAACACAGGGGCUUACACCAGUACUUUCUCCAGUGACACUAUUGCUGUCUCCUCUGGUAACAAUCUUUGUGUUUCAGGUAGAUGACAUUAAUGCUGAUAAGAAUAUCUCUUCUGCACAGAUUGUUGGUCCUGGACCCAAGCCAGAAGCCUCUGCAAAGCUUCCUUCCAGACCUGCGGAUAACUAUGACAACUUUGUCCUACCAGAGUUGCCAUCUGUGCCAGACACACUACCAACUGCAUCUGCUGGUGCCAGCACCUCAGCAUCUGAAGACAUUGACUUUGAUGAUCUUUCCCGGAGGUUUGAAGAGCUGAAAAAGAAAACAUAGGUCUCUUAAACCAGGCAACUUUCAC
Molecule: small RNA, 638 nt
Filed under: Pan troglodytes (chimpanzee)
Lineage: Eukaryota; Metazoa; Chordata; Mammalia; Primates; Hominidae
Description: retained intron
Source: RNAcentral